Molecule: long non-coding RNA, 2633 nt
Organism: Oreochromis niloticus (Nile tilapia)
Lineage: Eukaryota; Metazoa; Chordata; Actinopteri; Cichliformes; Cichlidae
Source: Ensembl
GUUAAUACACUCUACUGAUCCCUGAUGGGAGAAUCAUCACCUCUGCCAACAAAGAAGCCUGGUGGAUGUUUGUUUGCAGUCUGAUGAUGGGACAUCAUGCUCUGCAUCUUCAAAGUUUGUCUCUUGAUUAUUAUUCAUACACAGUAAUGUGAAGCAUGCUCAUAUCUAGUAUAACUGGACCAACCUGGUGCUCUUCAUUUAUGGAGGCUGUUGAGUCUGAAUGUUGGAUGUUGUGUAUCUCGUGUUCUCUGGGCUUUGUUGUCCUCAGUCUUUUUGCAGGAUCAGAAAACAAAACCAGGAGGCCUGUAAAUGUUUCUUCUCCAAUUGGAUGAUGAUAAGACUGUGACACGGGAUGCCACCUUUAGUCUUGUGAUGAAGCAAAGCUCAGGAAGAAGUGUGAUUAAAUGGUACCCACAUGUGUGCUGCUGAGAAGGAUGUACAGGGGCACCUGCAGCCAAAUCCAAGCCUCCUCAGAGCAGAGCGGCCGUUUGUGCUCACAGAUGGUGACGGUGUGGAGAGACGGUGGUGUUUCCUCAGAAGAACUAGCAGAGUCACAAAGGGCACGAGUCCUUCUCACCACCUUGACUUGCUGACUGAUGCUCGUCUGCACUGCACAGAGGAAAUCAACUGACCGAGGAGUGUUUCUGAGUGAGGGAGAGAGGAGUCAUCAUCCAGGUAAAGUGACGUGGAUCAGUGGACACACUUGUCUCCCCUUUAAAGGAGAUACUCUUAGAGAGAGACGAUCAGAGUCAUCCUUAAAUAUGGGCAGGAUAUCAGUCUUGGACUGUCUAACCUGCCGGAGCAGCACUGAAUAACCACCGCACAUGAGCAUGUUCCUGCAACAUUCAGCAGCUUUGCUUUUGUGUCAAAUGUCAACCAGCUGGAGAGGAAACUACACCAGUGUACUGGGAUGUUUCACCAACACGUGCCAGACGCUGUUCCUUCAUGGUGACAUCACCAGAGACAGCCCCGCCCACCCUCAGGACCUCGCCAUUGAUCAUGAUGAUUAUAAUGAUGACAGCGAGCGGAACUAAGACUGUAAAAAUCCACGACCAGAAUGUUUAGAUGCUUUCUAAUUAUUAAUGAAUACUGAGAGCCUCUUUCUGUGUUUUGUCUGUUUUGGUUUUUUUUACCUCAUUUGUUACUAACAAAGUUCAACAAACUCACACAGUUUACAUUCUGUAUGUUUCCAUCUUUACCAGCCACAGUCUAACUGCAAUUAAGAAAACAAACCGUAGAAAUCGUUGCUUUUCUCUUUUGUAAUUGAUGAUAAUUCAGUGAAUUUACUGCGCUGCUUCCUUUUGUUUCGUCUCACAUUGCUUUAAGUUUUUCAGUGUUCAGUUAUUUUUUACUGUUGUUUGAAUUCUCUGUAUGUUUGACCCUGUAGACUGUUUAAUGGACUGCUUGUCUUCCUGUUUGUAACCGCCGCCUGUUUUUGACUAAAGAUUUGGAUUUCUGACUUUAACACAGCCUCUGCGUGUCCUCCCUUUGUGUCCUCUUCCUCUGUGAAUGUGUUGCAUGUGUCACAGAUUCAUUUAUUAACAGCUUUCCCACAGUGAGUUGCAUCAGCAUUCAUUCACAGCACAUUGCAGAAGGAUUCAGAUCAAUACAGUGAUCUUAUAGUCAGAAUUAUCCUGACAGACUGCCACUGUAAAUUAUCUUUCAUCAGGUACAUUUUAAAGUUCAGUAUUUCAAAGCAGGCGUUAUGAAGAAUCAUAUUGGCAUUAGGACUGUAACAAUAUGUACUUACAAAGUCAAAGUUUUUUAAUUAUGCUAGAAUAUUGGAAGACAAUCAACUUUUAGUGUUUUCUGCAUAUUAAUUAUACUGAAAUAGAGAUGGUGACCAUAACUGUACAGAAGCACUAAACAACUGACAAUCUAACAAACAUUACUGGCCUGAGCCAUCAUGCACAGUGAGUCUGAUCCUGUGCUGUGAGAGUCUGACAAGCAUGUUUCUGGUCAGUUUGGAAGAAAUAACAUCACAAUGUUGAUCUUUUUUUAAUAUUCCUUUUACAACAUAAACUGUGACCAAAGCUACUUAUGUUCACAGCAUGUAAUAAUAGUGACAGUCCAGGACAUUGUGGUCUGUUGAGCUAGGGUUAGGGUUAGCAAUUCAGACAUAUGUAAUCAAUCUCUUGCUGGAUAUAACAAACACCUAGGAAUUUGUAUUAUAAUUCAUGAAAUAUUCAAAUUCAAUAUCAGUCAUUUUAUAUUAUAACCAUGUAUCCACCCAGGCUCAUGGUGGGGCAGGGCUCUGUCCUGGGAUGCUUGAGUGAAAGGUAAUGUACACCCUGACCAGGUAUCCAGUCUGUCACAGUUGUUUUCAAUAUUUGGUUCAAAAAUAUGAAUGAAAACAAAAAUCCAACUAGGAUUCUUGCAUAUGAUGGAUGAAGUCUGUCUUUGACUGUAUUGUCCAGCUGAUCCAUCAAACCCCCAGCAGGUGAACCUUAUUCAUGACAUAACACAGUAACAAUGUAAAAAAUUAAACAGCAACAGUCUAAAUGUAAAGUGCAUUCUAAACUCCUCUUCAAUAAAUUAUAUGGAUGUGCAGUGAGUCAUUCAGGACUGUAAAACGUGAACUACAGAACCCAGAGUCUUCACCAUUAAAUCUCUGGUUGCUUCAUUUUUCUAUC